This is a long non-coding RNA of Catharus ustulatus (Swainson's thrush), 2987 nucleotides long. RefSeq lists it as uncharacterized. Lineage: Eukaryota; Metazoa; Chordata; Aves; Passeriformes; Turdidae. The transcript is spliced from 3 exons. The record is from RefSeq and is a predicted model, not a curated record.
CACACCAGGUGCUCUGGAAAGGCUGCUGUGAAGCACAGGACAAGGACUCUGCCUCACAGCAUCCCUGUGUAUUUUAAUACUCCAAGCUCCUGUGAAACUGGUAGGGAGCUCUCUGUGCUGCCUGAUUCUGAGUAAAUUGCUUCUUGAACUAGGAAGUGCUGUUCCUUUAAUCUGUUGAGGUGUGAUACAAAGGCCAAAUCUCCACCCAUUCUGAACAUAACGUUCCUUUGGCUCUAUCUUAUAAAAAGCUGAGGUUGUGCUGGAGGAGACCAAGGCACUCCUUCAGCUUCCUCGGGAUCAUCUCGUGACUAGUUGGAAGGAUGAAGCUCCUGACACUUUGUGGCUUUUUGCUUGUCUGUCUUUUGUGCUUCAAUGCCUUUGCUGCAGAAGGUCAGAAGAACAGACUCUGCUGCUUAAAAGCACCCAAACUCAAGCUAAAAAUGCGUAAAGGUAUAAGUUCUAAAAUGACUCAACUGGAAAAAAGGAAAUACUGCAAGCCUUGUUCUCAGCGAGUCCCUCCAGUGAUUUCUGGACCACUUCCACAGCUAAAAUGAGCAGACUGAGAGGAGGGUGAAAAGCAUCUGCCUACAUGCACAACUGACAGUGCUUCACUAUCUUGAGGACCCUCCUUUCACAUUGCUUUUUAUUUGGGGAAAGGCUUCGGUAUUGUUUGUGUAUGCCUUCACUCAGGCAUCUUUGUUAGUAUUAACCUGGCAGAAAGAGUCAGGCGAAGUUGUCUGGCUGCCACCAGACUUUGUGUCAGUUGAAUGUUCCUCUGCUCCAAGCAGGGAUUUAGCUCCUUAAGAGAAUGAGGAGAACUGGUUGAGAGGUAGCUGGAUUGCAUUGGUUUGUAUUUCUAAAUUACUUAAAAGGUGGUGAAGGGUUGAUGCUUUUGUUUCUAGUUACCAGUAUACUUGCAAAUUUAAUAUUUUCUUUUAAUUAUUUAUUUUUUAUUAACAAAGGUGUUUGUAUGAUCAUCAAUCAUUGAUGAUUUUUCCUGCAGCCCUUGUGCUCAGUGCUUGCAAUCCACUUGGAAAUAGAUUUCUACAAAUGAUAAAAAUCUCAUCAUUUAGAAAGGGCUGAGAAACUAGAUAAGCUGGUUGUUAAAAUAGUGGUGAUGGGCCAGAUGCAAGUAAGAUUUUCAAUAUGUUUUCCAAGGGGGCUAAAUCUGACUUUAAAAUCAAAGUGGCCUGGUUUUAACUUCCUUAAGAGUGUCAUCAGGUGGUUAUUAAAGAGCACACUGAAAAGAUAUUAAACCUAAUCAGAUUUCAUCUGUUCCUCUGAAGCCAGAAGGCAGCUUUUCUUUCAAGACAACAGAGUUGUGUGAUCACCUCAAUAAACAAAGCUUACUGGAGCAUGAAAUAAAUGCUAAGAAUAAUACCAAAGGGCUGAAUAACAGAGAAACUAAAGCACCUGCUGAUACUUUAGUCAUGUGUCUUCUGUUCUUUCCUGACUGUCCUCUGCAUUGCUGCUAUUUCUCUGCCUGGGGGAGAGUCCUUAAAACUGAAUUACUUGGUUAUUCAUAAAUUCACUUUUUCUUCUAGUGAAUAUGAGGAGGAGUAGGAACCUUUUCUGCUGCUGGGCAAAUUGCAGAUUGCAAAUAGUAAUUUUUCUGUCAGUACUCAUAGUACUACUCUUAACAUAAUUGUCAGUAUGAUAGAAAUGGUUUUGGUGCCCUUCACAAUCUGGGGGAGUUGAAUGGGAACAGUCAGAGGUCUGUUGUAACUCACACAGGCAAAUGCAAUUCCAAAAGGUCAAGUUUAUGGGCACUUACUCAGGGUCCUGCUCUUACUGAGAAUGUUUCUAUUGUACUGAGCAAUUGAACCUACUUCUGGGUCUUCUGUGUGCUUGCUAUUACUUUAUUUUCAUACUGGUUUUGAGAGCAGGUAGAUCUGACACUCAGCUUUCUAUUUUUGAAGACCUGACCAUGCAUAGCAUUUUUUAUAUCAAGGAUAAAAGAACUUCCAGUCCUCCUUGCAAGACAUCUGAAUCAGGAGGUUGGUGGAAGAACUGUGUUUCAUUGUUCAGUUCUGGUCAGGGGGCCAACAGAUUUUAUUUCUAUUGUUUUGUGGAGCUCACAGAAAGAAUCUGUAGAAUAUAAAUGACAAGUAAAUGUAAAAAGCGUUUUUGGUAUUGUUUGAUGCAGGGUUGUCCCUGUAAAAUAUGGCCAUGUGUUUACUGCUCUGUAUAAAGCAUCACUAACAGGUUGAAAGAUUCUGUUCUCUAAUGUGAGUUUAAGCCCUUUUCUUUUAUAAGAAAAAUGCUCUAUGAUUUUCUCUUUGCCUUACACCCUCCAAACAGCAUGCUCCACACUCUCCAACCCUCCUUCAGGCAAAAUGCUCCCUCUGAUAAGAAAAGCAUAAGCCCCAGAGACCAUUAGCACAAUUCUUACAGAAAUACUCUAGAUCUCUGGAGAGAUCUGAGGGCAUAAUUCAAUGCACUUAAGUAUUUUUACUUAGUUUCCCAUGCUGGCCUCAAUCCCUGGUUGGGGGCUAUUCCAGUUAAAGAUGCUACUUGUCUAAAGUCCCAGCCUUGGCUAAGCAGACUAAAGCAAGAACCUCCAAAUUAUUUCAGCAUGGACUGUGACUGCUGCCCAAAUGCUUUGUUGCAUCUUUUAGAAGUAUCAGAAUACUGUGUGUCUUCUUGAAUGCAAUUCCUCAGCAGAGUUGGACUCUUAUGUACCAGGCCAUUUCCCCAUGUGGUAGAACAGAGCUACCAUCUGAUCAUGGUUUCACUUACAGGCAUCUGUUCCUCCUUUUGUUUUCCUUUCACUUCUACAUGUAUUUGUCUGGCAUUACUGGAAGAGAAACAUAUUUGCUCAGUGGCUUUUCAAAAUACACAAACUGUAUGCUUAUAUAAAGUAGUAAAUUUAUCUUGUCCAAGCUGACAAAUGCAUUUUUUGUAUCUUGUGGUUUUGUAUGCAUUCUGCUGUCAAGCAAGAAAAUUGCACAGCCCUUAAGUUGCAAUAAAGAUGUUUCUGAAGUGUC